CUAUGCUCACACCAUCCUGAAUGCCCCUGAUCUUAUCCAUUCUUGGAAGCUAAGCAGGGUCGGGCCUGAUCAGUACUUGGAGGGGAGACAGCAGAGAUGAACUCCUGCUAAAGCAUUUG
This 119-nucleotide ribosomal RNA is filed under the name Jaculus jaculus (lesser Egyptian jerboa). The record is from RNAcentral. Lineage: Eukaryota; Metazoa; Chordata; Mammalia; Rodentia; Dipodidae.